UUAUAUUCAAUUUUAGUAUAUGAUAUAGGAUCGUAAUAAGAAAUUACAUGUUGUUUGUAAUAUAUUAAUGGUGUAAAGAAUUUAUACAUGAUAUUUGCACAAAACUUUACUCCGGAAAUGAAAGCCUCUGAAGACUAAUGUCUCUUUCACUAAGUGGUCGUUUGGUUUGAGGUAUAAAAUGAGUUAUGCCAGUAUUAAUUUUUAUACCACGUUUGGUAUAAGGUAUAGAUUUAUCCCGGAAUUAUUUUAUACCUUGUACCAAACGUGAUAUAAAAAUUAGUGCUGGAAUAACUCAACUUAUACCUUCUUAACCCAUUUAUACUGGUAUUAUUUUAUACCAUCUUUCAGAUGGUAUAAAAUAAUACCAACUGAUGGGAUAAAUUAAUCCCGGGAUUGUAAUCCCGGGAUUAUUUUGACUAGCAACCAAACGACCACUAAAAGUAUAGUCUUUCUUUACAAUUCUCUUUGUUUUUUUUUUUUUUCCUUUUCAAUGGUCAAUGAUUUCCCUAUACAGUGAUAUAUUGCUCUUUAUAUAUCACUUCUUGCCUUAUGAAGAACACCACAAUAAGACUAGCUAGAUACUUCAAUUUCUUUGCUAAUGGCUUUUUCACGUAGCUUAGUGCCCAAAACCAUGCUAAUAUUUCCCAGCAUCAAGCCAUGCCUGCUCAAGACAGUAAUAGCCAUGAGAUGCAUAAAUACUACAAGGAGGCCACCACCAAAGCCACCCAUAAAAACUGAACCACCACAAAACAAUGAUUACAAAGACAAGAAAGAGACUACGAUGACAGAGGAGACGAGUAACACAAAGCUCCAAGAAGAUAAUUCAAAGAUCAAAACAAAUUAACUAGGAAUCUUUGUUUGUUAAAGAUCAUAAUAAGUCAUUUGUACUUGGUCUAAAGUUAGUCAAGUCCAAAAUGCUUUUAUGAUUAGUGAAACUAGUAGCAAGAAGUGGUCCUUUUUCCUCCCAACAUAUAAAAGUAUAAUGAUGUUUUAUUUUGUAGAAGAUGCUUGUGUGGUAAAAUUCACAAAUAGCCACUUUUUAGCUCUUGUUGAAAAAUAAUCAAUGUCAUGAAGUUUAAAUUUCACGAAUAAAACUUCAGGACGCUUGCAUGGAGUUUCACUAGUAAAAUUUGAAAUUCCAUGACAAUGAUUAUUUUUCAAAAACAUAACCGAGAAGGGCAAGUGAGGUGCUAUUUCUACGGUGUGCUUGUAUUGUCCUUCUAUUUCCUAUUUUUCUUUGGUUAUCAUGUUAGGGGUCUGUUUGUUCGUGUACAAAUUAUGUGGGGAUUGUAAUAUAAUGAUUGUAAUGUGCUAUUGUUAUCAUGUUA
Molecule: long non-coding RNA, 1328 nt
Organism: Lycium barbarum (goji berry)
Lineage: Eukaryota; Viridiplantae; Streptophyta; Magnoliopsida; Solanales; Solanaceae
Exons: 2
Source: RefSeq, a predicted model, not a curated record